GAAAUGCGAUAAGUAGUGUGAAUUGCAGAAUUUAGCGAAUCAUCGAAUCUUUGAACGCACAUUGCGCCCCUUGGUAUUCCAUGGGGCAUGCCUGUUCGAGCGUCAUUUCAACCCUCAAGCACUGCUUGGUGUUGGGCGUUUGUCCCGCCUACGCGCGUAGACUCGCCUCAAAGUCAUUGGCAGCUGUUCCCCUUCGGCUCGUAAGCGCAGCACAGUCGGCGCCCGGAGCUCUGGUGGGAUGGCGUCCAGCAAGCUAUAUUUUCAGGCUUGACCUCGGAUCAGGUAGGGAUACCCGCUGAACUUAAGC
Molecule: unclassified non-coding RNA, 307 nt
Filed under: plant metagenome
Description: partial contains 5.8S ribosomal RNA, internal transcribed spacer 2, and large subunit ribosomal RNA
Rfam family: 5.8S ribosomal RNA (bases 1-105)
Source: RNAcentral